AGAUCCAAAAAGUGGCGGAAUGCUCUCGAAACCAAUUCAUUUGAGUGAGACAAAGGAGAGGGGAAUUUCAUGUGUAGGGGUGAAAUCCGGAGAUCUACAAAGGAAAGCCAAGAUCGGUAGAGCAC
This is a long non-coding RNA of Rhodamnia argentea, 125 nucleotides long. RefSeq lists it as uncharacterized. NCBI's taxonomy places the organism in Eukaryota, Viridiplantae, Streptophyta, Magnoliopsida, Myrtales, Myrtaceae. The transcript is spliced from 3 exons. The record is from RefSeq and is a predicted model, not a curated record.